Molecule: long non-coding RNA, 537 nt
Organism: Nannospalax galili (Upper Galilee mountains blind mole rat)
Lineage: Eukaryota; Metazoa; Chordata; Mammalia; Rodentia; Spalacidae
Exons: 3
Source: RefSeq, a predicted model, not a curated record
CUAGGAGGAGAAGGGUGUGGAAGGGGGUGAGGAGGUGUUUCCUUCAGGUCUUUAGAACAUUUUGCUGUUGCCUCCCCACCCCAAGAGAAAGCAGCAUGCCCCCAAGAUCAUGACGGUUCAUGAGUGGACAAGCCCAUGGCUGCUGCUCUGUCCUUGCUCUUCCUGAGCACCACUGCAGCUCUGGAUAUUUCCUUAGACUGCAGAUUGCGAUGCCAGCAGUGGGCACAGAUGACGGUGCACUGGGGCUGGAGAAAAGCAAUACAAAAUGAUGGAAAACCUCUUGGUACCUGAGGACCGGGAAAGGUCCAACGUCAAGGCCUGGGUGGCCAGGACCACGUGUGGAGCCAAGACCACAGCUGACCGGCAAGGGAGGCGGGAAGUCCAUUCUAGAGGAUCUGUGGUCCCCUUCCAUGAAGCUGGAGCUAUGGUCCCCUCCUGUUCUGGAUUGCUUUAGUGUCUACUUGACACACCUGGGUUGAGGGAGCCUCAACUGGGGAAUUGCCUCCAUUGAACUGGCCUGUGGCCAUGUCUGUGGGA